ACCUGGUUGAUCCUGCCAGUAGUCAUACACUUGUCUUAAGAUUAAGCCAUGCAUGUCUAAGUGCUUUGAUGGUUUAACAUUAGACUGCAGACGGCUCAUUACAACAGCUAUUGUAUUAUUGAUAUUAUCUUAUAAGUAGAUACCUAUGGAAAGUCUAGAGCUAAUACAUGACAAAAAAAUAUAUGUAAAUUUAAUUUAUUAUAUUAGGUUCUAAGUUUUAUCAAAUCAAAGUGAUCUCUUCACUAUGGAUGAAUCAUAUUAUUGCUUAAAAAUCGCAACAUACGUGAUAUAUCAUUCAAGUUUCUGACCUAUCAGUUAGUCAGUAGUGUAUUGGACUAUUGAGGCAUUGACGGGUAACAGAGAAUUAGGGUUCUGUUCCGGAGAGGGAGCCUGAGAAACAGCUACUACAUCUAAGGAAGGCAGCAGGCGCGCAAAUUACCCAAUUCUGAUCAAGAGAGGUAGUGACAAGAAAUCACAAUAUUUUGCCUUAGGGUUAAAUAAUUGUAUUGAGAACAAUGUAGAUAUAUUAUCGAUAAACUAUUGGAGGGCAAGUCUGGUGCCAGCAGCCGCGGUAAUUCCAGCUCCAAUGGUGUGUGCUAACAUUGUUGCAGUUAAAAAGCUCGUAGUUAAAUUUUUAAGGGAAUCAAUUAUAUGUGUUCGUUCUGAACUACAAUGAAUGUUGAUUACUCUUAUUUGCUCUUUUUAAGUGUUGGAAUUCAGUUUUUGACAGUUAAUGAAGGGUUUAUUUACUUUGAGAAAAUUUGUGUGUUCUAAGCAGUCGUACGACUGUAUCCUAAAGCAUGGAAUAAUAAGUAAUGACUUUGAUCAAUUUCUGAUGGUUUGAGAGAUUAUUGUAAUGAUUUAUAGAGUUUGUCGGAGGUAUUAGUAUUUUGUCGUUAGAGGUGAAAUUUCUGGGAUCGUUCAAAAGACUAACAACUGUGAAGCAUUACCUAGGAUUUUCUCCUUGAUCAAGAACGUAAGUUUGGGGAUCGAAGACGAUCAGAUACCGUCGUAGUCUCAACUUUAAAUUAUAUCAGCUAGAGGGGUAAAUGUUUAUAUGACUUUGUUAGAACCUUAUGAGAAAUCAAAGCGUUUGGAUUCCGGGGGGAGUAUGGUCGCAAGGCUGAAACUUAAA
This 1135-nucleotide ribosomal RNA is filed under the name uncultured Polycystinea. Its description in RNAcentral is "bacterial SSU rRNA". It matches the Rfam family "Eukaryotic small subunit ribosomal RNA", at positions 1 to 1148 of the family's 1831-position model. Lineage: Eukaryota; Polycystinea. The record is from RNAcentral.